RNAcentral lists this ribosomal RNA (500 nucleotides) under uncultured bacterium. RNAcentral describes it as "partial 16S ribosomal RNA". It matches the Rfam family "Bacterial small subunit ribosomal RNA", at positions 30 to 523 of the family's 1533-position model. The record is from RNAcentral.
AUUGAACGCUGGCGGAAUGCUUUACACAUGCAAGUCGAACGGCAGCACGGACUUCGGUCUGGUGGCGAGUGGCGAACGGGUGAGUAAUGUAUCGGAACGUGCCCAGUCGCGGGGGAUAACGUAGUGAAAAUUACGCUAAUACCGCAUACGAUCUAUGGAUGAGAGCGGGGGAUCGCAAGCCCUCGCGCGAUUGGAGCGGCCGAUAUCAGAUUAGGUAGUUGGUGGGGUAAAGGCCCACCAAGCCAACGAUCUGUAGCUGGUCUGAGAGGACGACCAGCCACACUGGAACUGAGACACGGUCCAGACUCCUACGGGAGGCAGCAGUGGGGAAUUUUGGACAAUGGGCGAAAGCCUGAUCCAGCCAUUCCGCGUGCAGGAUGAAGGCCCUCGGGUUGUAAACUGCUUUUGUACAGAACGAAAAGGUUUCUACUAAUACUAGGAGCUCAUGACGGUACUGUAAGAAUAAGCACCGGCUAACUACGUGCCAGCAGCCGCGGUAA